GACGAACGCUGGCGGCGUGCUUAACACAUGCAAGUCGAACGGAAAGGCCCUGCUUUUGUGGGGCGCUCGAGUGGCGAACGGGUGAGUAACACGUGUGUAACCUGCCCUUGACUGUGGGAUAACUUCAGGAAACUGGGGCUAAUAUCGGAUAGGAUCUCCUGCUCCACGGUGGUGGUUGGAAAGUUUCGGCGGUUGGGGAUGGACUCGCGGCUUAUCAGCCUGUUGGUGGGGUAGUGGCUUACCAAGGCUUUGACGGGUAGCCGGCCUGAGAGGGUGACCGGCCACAUUGGGACUGAGAUACGGCCCAGACUCGUACGGGAGGCAGCAGUGGGGAGUAUUGCAAAAUGGGGGGAAGCCUGAUGCAGCAACGCCGCGUUCGGGAUGACGGGUUUCGGGUUGUAAACCGAUUUCGCCUGUGACGAAGCGUUAGUGACGGUAAUGGGUAAAGAAGCACCGGCUAACUACGUG
Molecule: ribosomal RNA, 468 nt
Filed under: uncultured bacterium
Lineage: Bacteria
Description: partial 16S ribosomal RNA
Rfam family: Bacterial small subunit ribosomal RNA
Source: RNAcentral